CGCGGUAUUUUGACCGUGCAAAGGUAGCAUAAUCAUUUGCCUAUUAAUUGUAGGCUAGUAUGAAUGGUUUGACGAAAUAUUAACUGUCUCAUAUUUAAAUUAUAUAAUUUAAAUUUUAAGUUAAAAUGCUUGAAUUUUUUUAUUGGACGAGAAGACCCUAUAGAUCUUUAUUAUUUAAAUUUUAAAUUAAAUUUAGAUUUUAUUUUAUUUUAUUUUUAUAUUGUUUAGUUGGGGUGAUUUAAAGAUUUAAUUAACUCUUUAUUUUUUUGUACAAUUAUUUUUGGUUAAAUUGACUUUUUAUUAUUGUUAAAAGAUAUAGAUACCUUAGGGAUAACAGCGUAAUUUUUUUUAAGAGUUCAUAUCGACAAAAAAGAUUGCGACCUCGAUGUUGGAUUAAGAUUUUAAUUAGGUGUAGUAGCUUAAUUUAUAGGUCUGUUCGACCUUUAAAAUCUUACAUGAUCUGAGU
This 466-nucleotide ribosomal RNA is filed under the name Cnipsomorpha sp. Its description in RNAcentral is "partial large subunit ribosomal RNA". It matches the Rfam family "Bacterial large subunit ribosomal RNA", at positions 1932 to 2610 of the family's 2925-position model. The record is from RNAcentral. Lineage: Eukaryota; Metazoa; Arthropoda; Insecta; Phasmatodea; Phasmatidae.